RNAcentral lists this ribosomal RNA (528 nucleotides) under uncultured Alcaligenes sp. RNAcentral describes it as "bacterial SSU rRNA". It matches the Rfam family "Bacterial small subunit ribosomal RNA", at positions 9 to 526 of the family's 1533-position model. Lineage: Bacteria; Pseudomonadati; Pseudomonadota; Betaproteobacteria; Burkholderiales; Alcaligenaceae. The record is from RNAcentral.
GAGUUUGAUCCUGGUUCAGAUUGAACGCUAGCGGGAUGCUUUACACAUGCAAGUCGAACGGCAGCACGAGAGAGCUUGCUCUCUUGGUGGCGAGUGGCGGACGGGUGAGUAAUAUAUCGGAACGUGCCUAGUAGCGGGGGAUAACUACUCGAAAGAGUGGCUAAUACCGCAUACGCCCUACGGGGGAAAGGGGGGGAUCGCAAGACCUCUCACUAUUAGAGCGGCCGAUAUCGGAUUAGCUAGUUGGUGGGGUAAAGGCUCACCAAGGCAACGAUCCGUAGCUGGUUUGAGAGGGCGACCAGCCACACUGGGACUGAGACACGGCCCAGACUCCUACGGGAGGCAGCAGUGGGGAAUUUUGGACAAUGGGGGAAACCCUGAUCCAGCCAUCCCGCGUGUAUGAUGAAGGCCUUCGGGUUGUAAAGUACUUUUGGCAGAGAAGAAAAGGUACCUCCUAAUACGAGGUACUGCUGACGGUAUCUGCAGAAUAAGCACCGGCUAACUACGUGCCAGCAGCCGCGGUAAUAC